RNAcentral lists this ribosomal RNA (484 nucleotides) under uncultured bacterium. RNAcentral describes it as "partial 16S ribosomal RNA". It matches the Rfam family "Bacterial small subunit ribosomal RNA", at positions 28 to 507 of the family's 1533-position model. The record is from RNAcentral.
AUUGAACGCUGGCGGCAUGCUUUACACAUGCAAGUCGAACGGCAGCGCGGGCUUCGGCCUGGCGGCGAGUGGCGAACGGGUGAGUAAUGCAUCGGAACGUGCCCAGUAGUGGGGGAUAGCCCGGCGAAAGUCGGAUUAAUACCGCAUACGACCUGAGGGUGAAAGCGGGGGACCGAAAGGCCUCUCGCUAUUGUAGCGGCCGAUGUCGGAUUCGCUAGUUGGUGGGGUAAAGGCUUACCAAGGCUGCGAUCCGUAGCUGGGCUGAGGGGACCGCCCGCCAACCUGGGAGUGAGGACCGGCCCCGACUCCGAAGGGGAGGAACAGUGGGGGAUUUUGGGCAAGGGGGGGGAACCCAGUACCACCCAGGCGGCGGGGGGGAAAAAGCCCUAGGGGUUGUAACCCGUUUUGGUCGGGGAGGAAACCAUCUGGGUUAAACCCCGGGGGGAUGACGGUACCGGAAGAAUAAGCACCGGCUAACUACGUG